Non-coding RNA from Pelobates cultripes (western spadefoot toad), 261 nucleotides. Lineage: Eukaryota; Metazoa; Chordata; Amphibia; Anura; Pelobatidae. The record is from the annotation of a GenBank genome assembly.
CGUGGUUAGUCGUCGAGUUGUAGAACCGUAGCACAGGAUUUUUCAUAUUAAAUUCACGUAUGGUGCGGUUAGGCUGCAGGAACCUUCCCCUCCCUCCACAUUUCUGGAUCAAAUGGUUUUCAAGUGACUUAAGCAAAAUCUUAAGUUCUUGGGUGCUUAUUUAAAGAUUCCUGUAGCUAGAAGUUAAUAAUUGGGUGUGUAUUUUGAUCCAUUUCUUAAAGGAACACACUAUAGUAUUAGGAAUACAAAUGUGUAUUCUAU